RNAcentral lists this ribosomal RNA (199 nucleotides) under uncultured Streptococcaceae bacterium. Its description in RNAcentral is "partial 16S ribosomal RNA". It matches the Rfam family "Bacterial small subunit ribosomal RNA", at positions 140 to 334 of the family's 1533-position model. The record is from RNAcentral. Lineage: Bacteria; Bacillati; Bacillota; Bacilli; Lactobacillales; Streptococcaceae.
GGGAUAACUAUUGGAAACGAUAGCUAAUACCGCAUAAGAGUAGAUGUUGCAUGACAUUUGCUUAAAAGGUGCAAUUGCAUCACUACCAGAUGGACCUGCGUUGUAUUAGCUAGUUGGUGAGGUAACGGCUCACCAAGGCGACGAUACAUAGCCGACCUGAGAGGGUGAUCGGCCACACUGGGACUGAGACACGGCCCAG